GACGAACGCUGGCGGCGUGCUUAACACAUGCAAGUCGAGCGGUAAGGCCCUUUCGGGGGUACACGAGCGGCGAACGGGUGAGUAACACGUGGGCGACCUGCCCUCAGCUCUGGGAUAAGCCUGGGAAACCGGGUCUAAUACUGGAUAUGACUCCAUGACGCAUGUUGUGGGGUGGAAAGCCUUGUGCGGCUGAGGAUGGGCCCGCGGCCUAUCAGCUUGUUGGUGGGGUGANGGCCUACCAAGGCGACGACGGGUAGCCGGCCUGAGAGGGCGACCGGCCACACUGGGACUGAGACACGGCCCAGACUCCUACGGGAGGCAGCAGUGGGGAAUCUUGCGCAAUGGGCGAAAGCCUGACGCAGCGACGCCGCGUGAGGGAUGACGGCCUCGG
This 391-nucleotide ribosomal RNA is filed under the name uncultured bacterium. RNAcentral's name for it is "bacterial SSU rRNA". It matches the Rfam family "Bacterial small subunit ribosomal RNA", at positions 28 to 420 of the family's 1533-position model. The record is from RNAcentral.